This 469-nucleotide ribosomal RNA is filed under the name uncultured bacterium. Its description in RNAcentral is "partial 16S ribosomal RNA". It matches the Rfam family "Bacterial small subunit ribosomal RNA", at positions 27 to 507 of the family's 1533-position model. The record is from RNAcentral.
GGACGAACGCUGGCGGCGUGCUUGACACAUGCAAGUCGAACGGAAAGGCCCUGCUUUUGUGGGGUGCUCGAGUGGCGAACGGGUGAGUAACACGUGAGUAACCUGCCCUUGACUUUGGGAUAACUUCAGGAAACUGGGGCUAAUACCGGAUAGGAGCUCCUGCUGCAUGGUGGGGGUUGGAAAGUUUCGGCGGUUGGGGAUGGACUCGCGGCUUAUCAGCUUGUUGGUGGGGUAGUGGCUUACCAAGGCUUUGACGGGUAGCCGGCCUGAGAGGGUGACCGGCCACAUUGGGACUGAGAUACGGCCCAGACUCCUACGGGAGGCAGCAGUGGGGAAUAUUGCACAAUGGGCGGAAGCCUGAUGCAGCAACGCCGCGUGCGGGAUGACGGCCUUCGGGUUGUAAACCGCUUUCGCCUGUGACGAAGCGUGAGUGACGGUAAUGGGUAAAGAAGCACCGGCUAACUACGUG